UGUAAAAUGGCAGAAAAAUGCGUAAACUUUAAGCGUUUAUUAUGACUAAAUUUGUCUUUUACAA
This 64-nucleotide transfer RNA is filed under the name Tyrannodoris europaea. Its description in RNAcentral is "Roboastra europaea tRNA-Leu". Lineage: Eukaryota; Metazoa; Mollusca; Gastropoda; Nudibranchia; Polyceridae. The record is from RNAcentral.